GGAGGAAAAGAAACUAACAAGGAUUCCCCUAGUAGCGGCGAGCGAAGCGGGAAGAGCUCAAAUUUAUAAUCUGGCACCUUCGGUGUCCGAGUUGUAAUCUCUAGAAAUGUUUUCCGCGUUGGACCGCACACAAGUCUGUUGGAAUACAGCGGCAUAGUGGUGAGACCCCCGUAUAUGGUGCGGACGCCCAGCGCUUUGUGAUACAUUUUCGAAGAGUCGAGUUGUUUGGGAAUGCAGCUCAAAUUGGGUGGUAAAUUCCAUCUAAAGCUAAAUAUUGGCGAGAGACCGAUAGCGAACAAGUACCGUGAGGGAAAGAUGAAAAGCACUUUGGAAAGAGAGUUAACAGUACGUGAAAUUGUUGGAAGGGAAACGCUUGAAGUCAGACUUGCUUGCCGAGCAAUCGGUUUGCAGGCCAGCAUCAGUUUUCCGGGAUGGAUAAUGGUAGAGAGAAGGUAGCAGUUUCGGCUGUGUUAUAGCUCUCUGCUGGAUACAUCUUGGGGGACUGAGGAACGCAGUGUGCCUUUGGCGGGGGUUUCGACCUCUUCACACUUAGGAUGCUGGUGGAAUGGCUUUAAACGACCCGU
Molecule: ribosomal RNA, 584 nt
Filed under: Rhodotorula mucilaginosa
Lineage: Eukaryota; Fungi; Basidiomycota; Microbotryomycetes; Sporidiobolales; Sporidiobolaceae
Description: partial large subunit ribosomal RNA
Rfam family: Eukaryotic large subunit ribosomal RNA
Source: RNAcentral